Molecule: ribosomal RNA, 462 nt
Filed under: uncultured bacterium
Lineage: Bacteria
Description: partial 16S ribosomal RNA
Rfam family: Bacterial small subunit ribosomal RNA
Source: RNAcentral
GACGAACGCUGGCGGCGUGCUUAACACAUGCAAGUCGAACGGUGAAGCCCUUCGGGGGGGAUCAGUGGCGAACGGGUGAGUAACACGUGAGCAACCUGCCCCUGGCCCUGGGACAACCAUAGGAAACGGUGGCUAAUACUGGUUACGACCCGCCUCGGCAUCGAGAGGGGGUGGAAAGUUUUUCGGCUGGGGAUGGGUUCGCGGCCUAUCAGCUUGUUGGUGGGGUGUAGGCUCACCAAGGCGACGACGGGUAGCCGGCCUGAGAGGGCGACCGGCCACACUGGGACUGAGACACGGCCCAGACUCCUACGGGAGGCAGCAGUGGGGAAUAUUGCACAAUGGGCGAAAGCCUGAUGCAGCGACGCCGCGUGAGGGAUGACGGCCUUCGGGUUGUAAACCUCUUUCAGCUCCGAAGAAGCGAAAGUGACGGUAGGAGCAGAAGAAGCACCGGCUAACUACGUG